Molecule: ribosomal RNA, 253 nt
Filed under: uncultured bacterium
Lineage: Bacteria
Description: partial 16S ribosomal RNA
Rfam family: Bacterial small subunit ribosomal RNA
Source: RNAcentral
UACGUAGGGUCCGAGCGUUGUCCGGAAUUAUUGGGCGUAAAGGGCUCGUAGGCGGUUUGUCGCGUCGGGAGUGAAAACACCGGGCUUAACUCGGCGCUUGCUUUCGAUACGGGCAGACUGGAGGUAUGCAGGGGAGAACGGAAUUCCUGGUGUAGCGGUGAAAUGCGCAGAUAUCAGGAGGAACACCGGUGGCGAAGGCGGUUCUCUGGGCAUUACCUGACGCUGAGGAGCGAAAGUGUGGGGAGCGAACAGG